GGGCUUGACAUCCCACGAACCUGCCUGAAAGGGCGGGGUGCCCGCAAGGGAGCGUGGAGACAGGUGGUGCAUGGCUGUCGUCAGCUCGUGUCGUGAGAUGUUGGGUUAAGUCCCGCAACGAGCGCAACCCUCACCCCUAGUUGCCACCGGGUAAUGCCGAGCACUCGAGGGGAACUGCCAGCGUCAAGCUGGAGGAAGGCGGGGAUGACGUCAAGUCAUCAUGCCCCUUACGCCCUGGGCUACACACGUGCUACAAUGGCCGGUACAAAGGGACGCAAGACCGCGAGGUGGAGCUAAUCCCAAAAAGCCGGUCUAAGUUCAGAUUGCAUUCUGCAACUCGACUGCAUGAAGGAGGAAUCGCUAGUAAUCGCGCAUCAGCCCGGCGCGGUGAAUACGUUCCCGGGCCUUGUACACACCGCCCGUCACACCACGAAAGCUGUCUGUGCUCGAAGUCGCUGAG
Molecule: ribosomal RNA, 460 nt
Filed under: uncultured Methylomirabilota bacterium
Lineage: Bacteria; Methylomirabilota (SeqCode)
Description: bacterial SSU rRNA
Rfam family: Bacterial small subunit ribosomal RNA
Source: RNAcentral